Molecule: long non-coding RNA, 615 nt
Organism: Rhinopithecus roxellana (golden snub-nosed monkey)
Lineage: Eukaryota; Metazoa; Chordata; Mammalia; Primates; Cercopithecidae
Exons: 3
Source: RefSeq, a predicted model, not a curated record
CAAGUCCAGCCAAGAAGUGAUCUAAUUCCAGAGUGAGUUGAACCACAAAAUCCCCCAGAGGCCAGGGGAUCCUCAGCUGGUGACACCCCUCCCAGCCCUCACUCGGCCACACUGGUGCAUCCCGGCUUGCCUGUGUUACAGCUUGUACCUGUGUUCAGCAGUUCUUGAGCUCUUGUACUGCUCCCAAGAAGAAUGAGGAGAUGCUGAUAUUGAAGGGUCAAAUCUUUCCUUAUUGAAAAUUCACCCAAGAGGCAUCAAGAUGACCUCUGGCCAGAGACUGAGUCAUCUUUGCAUGACAUCAACACGACCUGCUUCUGCAGGCCCUCAGGGAACAGAGCAGAAGCUCUAUUCCAGAUCGAAGAUGACAGCCUGGGAUCCCUUUCCAUCCAUGUGCAUGUAAGGAUCUUGACACGCAAAGCCAAGAUACAGCCUUCCUCCUUGUAUAAUUCAUUCUGGUUAUCCACACACCUAGAACCGUGAAGUUUAUAAUCUGCUCCUUUCUAACUGCUGCUUAUAGAAAUAUAUUUGCCAAAGUCAAUCAGAGCCAUGGGCAAUGUGAGGAAUUGAGAAGUGAAGCCAGCUGGACUUCCUGGAUCGAGUGGGGACUUGGAGAAC